This 93-nucleotide small RNA is filed under the name Pediococcus stilesii. RNAcentral's name for it is "RNA anti-toxin A". It matches the Rfam family "RNA anti-toxin A". Lineage: Bacteria; Bacillati; Bacillota; Bacilli; Lactobacillales; Lactobacillaceae. The record is from Rfam by way of RNAcentral.
UAAUGAGGGCAUAGAAAAGGAGUUAUGAGCUGGUACUCAUAACUCCCGUGUAGAACCGUUAAAGACGGUGGCUAGUAAAACAAAAAUUUUAGU